This 25-nucleotide non-coding RNA is filed under the name Rattus norvegicus (Norway rat). The record is from RNAcentral. Lineage: Eukaryota; Metazoa; Chordata; Mammalia; Rodentia; Muridae.
AGGGAGGCUGUGGACAUCCUGCCCA